Molecule: long non-coding RNA, 232 nt
Filed under: Capsicum annuum
Lineage: Eukaryota; Viridiplantae; Streptophyta; Magnoliopsida; Solanales; Solanaceae
Description: long non-coding RNA (CANN_LNC010297)
Source: RNAcentral
CAUCCUCUUCUUGUAACUGACCGUAUUUUGAAAUGGCAUGCAGGUACAACUUUGAUCCAGUGAACGAGAAGCCCCUCCGUGGAUGCUAUGAAUGGGUGAAGAUCGAUCCUUAGACAUGGUCGGAAGAUGGAGAACUAGAUCAAUAGAAUGGACAUAUGGUUAUCGGCAUCCCAAGAAGACAAGUCUUAGCAUUUUCUUGUUUUUAUCUUUAGGUCUAGAAUCUAGGAAAACA